UGGGGAAUAUUGGACAAUGGGCGCAAGCCUGAUCCAGCAACGCCGCGUGGAGGAUGAAGGUCUUCGGAUCGUAAACUCCUGUCAGAUGGGACGAAGGUUCGAUGGUUAAGAGCUGUUGAGCUUGACGGUACCAUCAGAGGAAGCCCCGGCUAACUCCGUGCCAGCAGCCGCGGUAAUACGGAGGGGGCGAGCGUUAUUCGGAAUUAUUGGGCGUAAAGGGCGCGUAGGCGGCUCGCUAAGUCAAAGGUGAAAUCCCUCGGCUCAACUGAGGAACUGCCUUUGAAACUGUCGGGCUUGAGGCCGGGAGGGGGUAGCGGAAUUCCCAGUGUAGCGGUGAAAUGCGUAGAUAUUGGGAGGAACACCAGUGGCGAAGGCGGCUACCUGGACCGGUACUGACGCUGAUGCGCGAAAGCGUGGGUAGCAAACAGGAUUAGAUACCCCCGUAGUCC
This 449-nucleotide ribosomal RNA is filed under the name uncultured bacterium. Its description in RNAcentral is "bacterial SSU rRNA". It matches the Rfam family "Bacterial small subunit ribosomal RNA", at positions 355 to 796 of the family's 1533-position model. The record is from RNAcentral.